This 648-nucleotide ribosomal RNA is filed under the name uncultured fungus. RNAcentral describes it as "eukaryotic LSU rRNA". It matches the Rfam family "Eukaryotic large subunit ribosomal RNA", at positions 24 to 664 of the family's 3401-position model. The record is from RNAcentral. Lineage: Eukaryota; Fungi.
CCCGCUGAACUUAAGCAUAUCAAUAAGCGGAGGAAAAGAAACUAACAAGGAUUCCCCUAGUAACUGCGAGUGAAGCGGGAAAAGCUCAAAUUUGGAAUCUGGUGGUCUUUGGCCCAUCCGAGUUGUAAUUUAGAGAAGCGUCUUCCGCGCUGGACCGUGCACAAGUCUCCUGGAAUGGAGCGUCAUAGAGGGUGAGAAUCCCGUCUUUGGCAUGGAAUCCCAGGGCUUCUGUGAUGCGCUCUCGACGAGUCGAGUUGUUUGGGAAUGCAGCUCAAAUUGGGUGGUAAAUUCCAUCUAAAGCUAAAUAUUGGCGAGAGACCGAUAGCGAACAAGUACCGUGAGGGAAAGAUGAAAAGCACUUUGGAAAGAGAGUUAACAGUACGUGAAAUUGUUGGAAGGGAAACGCUUGAAGUCAGACUUGCUAUUCGGAAUUCAGCCGCAAGGUGUACUUUUCGAUUUGCAGGCCAGCAUCAGUUUUUGGGGAUGGAAAAGGGCCGGAGGAAGGUAGCAAUUUAGGUUGUGUUAUAGCCUUCGGCUGGAUUCAUCUUUGGGGACUGAGGAACGCAGCGCGCUUUUUGCAAGGCUCUCGAGCUUUCCGCGCUUAGGAUGCUGGUGGAAUGGCUUUAAACGACCCGUCUUGAAACACGG